RNAcentral lists this ribosomal RNA (446 nucleotides) under uncultured bacterium. RNAcentral's name for it is "partial 16S ribosomal RNA". It matches the Rfam family "Bacterial small subunit ribosomal RNA", at positions 338 to 795 of the family's 1533-position model. The record is from RNAcentral.
CCUACGGGAGGCAGCAGUCGAGAAUCAUUCACAAUGGGGGAAACCAUGAUGGUGCGACGCCGCGUGGGGGAAUGAAGGUCUUCGGAUUGUAAACCCCUGUCAUGUGGGAGCAAAUUAAAAAGAUAGUACCACAAGAGGAAGAGACGGCUAACUCUGUGCCAGCAGCCGCGGUAAUACAGAGGUCUCAAGCGUUGUUCGGAAUCACUGGGCGUAAAGCGUGCGUAGGCUGUUUCGUAAGUCGUGUGUGAAAGGCGCGGGCUCAACCCGCGGACGGCACAUGAUACUGCGAGACUAGAGUAAAGGAGGGGGAACCGGAAUUCUCGGUGUAGCAGUGAAAUGCGUAGAUAUCGAGAGGAACACUAGUGGCGAAGGCGGGUUCCUGGACAUUAACUGACGCUGAGGCACGAAGGCCAGGGGAGCGAAAGGGAUUAGAUACCCUAGUAGUC